UACGUAGGGUGCAAGCAUUAUCCGGAAUUAUUGGGCGUAAAGAGCUCGUAGGCGGUCUGUCGCGUCUGCUGUGAAAUCUGGGGGCUCAACCCCCAGCCUGCAGUGGGUACGGGCAGACUAGAGUGCGGUAGGGGAGAUUGGAACUCCUGGUGUAGCGGUGGAAUGCGCAGAUAUCAGGAAGAACACCGAUGGCGAAGGCAGAUCUCUGGGCCGUAACUGACGCUGAGGAGCGAAAGCAUGGGGAGCGAACAGG
This 253-nucleotide ribosomal RNA is filed under the name uncultured bacterium. Its description in RNAcentral is "partial 16S ribosomal RNA". It matches the Rfam family "Bacterial small subunit ribosomal RNA", at positions 524 to 776 of the family's 1533-position model. The record is from RNAcentral.